This is a non-coding RNA of Pseudomonas fluorescens Pf0-1, 114 nucleotides long. NCBI's taxonomy places the organism in Bacteria, Pseudomonadati, Pseudomonadota, Gammaproteobacteria, Pseudomonadales, Pseudomonadaceae. The record is from Rfam.
GUAUCGGUCACCGAAAGGUUUCCGGUAUUUGAACCGGACAGACUUCCGCGGUUCGCUCGACGAGCCGCAACCGGCGCAGGCCGGAUUCGUUAAACCCGCCGGGACUACACCGGC